GAAACCUUUGCAAUGUGCGAAAGCACGACAAGGUUAAUCCGAGUGUCUCCCGCUAAGGGAGUCUUUUGUCAGUUCUAGAACCACUGGUGAAUAAGGGGUGGGCAAGUUCUGGUGUCAGCCGCCGCGGUAAAACCAGCACCUCGAGUGGUCAGGAGGUUUAUUGGGCCUAAAGCAUCCGUAGCCGGUUGCAUAAGUUUUCGGUUAAAUCUAUGCGCUUAACGUAUAGGCCGCCGAAAAUACUGUGCAGCUAGGGAGUGGGAGAGGUACACGGUACUCGAUAGGAAGGGGUAAAAUCCUUUGAUCUAUUGAUGACCACCUGUGGCGAAGGCGGUGUACCAGAACACGUUCGACGGUGAGGGAUGAAAGCUGGGGGAGCAAACCGG
RNAcentral lists this ribosomal RNA (383 nucleotides) under uncultured archaeon. RNAcentral describes it as "bacterial SSU rRNA". It matches the Rfam family "Archaeal small subunit ribosomal RNA", at positions 343 to 727 of the family's 1478-position model. The record is from RNAcentral.